RNAcentral lists this long non-coding RNA (4064 nucleotides) under Brassica napus (rape). Its description in RNAcentral is "long non-coding RNA (BNAP_LNC005824)". Lineage: Eukaryota; Viridiplantae; Streptophyta; Magnoliopsida; Brassicales; Brassicaceae. The record is from RNAcentral.
UUUUAUGGAAUUGGAUUUGGAAUCUAUAGGCCUUUCCUGCCCGCUUCUCAAGACUCUGAAGCUAAACAAUGUGGGUUGCUACUACUUGGAGGACGAGUCUGAUGAUGAUGCUUUGGCAAUUGCUAAAACAAUGCCCGGUCUUCACCACCUCCAGCUUGUUGGGAACAGGGUAACAAACACCGGCUUAAACGCCAUUGUUGAGAAUUGUCCUCACCUCAAAUCCCUUGAUUUACGCGAUUGUGGCUACAUCAACCUUGCCCCCCAAUGAUUUCCAGAAGUUAUGUAAAAGAGUGGUUCAAGGGUUUAGUUGAUUUUACAUUUGCAUUUUGUUGAGCUGGUUACAUUCUUACAAAAUAGUAUGUGAUUCAUGUUUGAUUAUCAAUAAGAAUGCUUUAGAUAAAUCUCAACUUGUUGAAUAGAUCAAAGUUUUACAUUUCCUUUGGACAUAAUGCAAAACAAAACUCUUUGGCACUUAGAGAAUCUCUUUGUCCAACAAACACCUUUAGAGGAGAAAUUCUUAGGUUCACCCCCUAGGGUGAACCUCUAGGUUCACCAACCAAUAGUGUUUGAGUAUUUGAUAUUUGAUAUCUUUUAAAAAAGGAAACAAAAUUGAAUUUCCAAAUAAGAUUAUAUUUUUAAAAUAAAACAAUAAAAAUACAUAAAAAUAGUUACAAAAAAUAAAUAAAUAAAUAUUAUUAAACCUUUAGCAAAAUACUAAAUCCUAUACUCUAAAUCUUAAACUCUAAACCCUAAAUUAUAAACCUUAAAUCUUGGAUAAACCGUUGGAAAAUUUUAAACCCUAAAUCAUACAUUAAAAACUAAAUCUUAAUAACACUAAACCCUAAACCCUAAUCACUAAACCCUAAACCCUUGGAUAAACCCUGAACCCUUGGAUAAACCCUGAACCCUUGGAUAAAUCAUAAACUCUAAAUCAAAAAUAUUUAAAAUUAAACCCUAAAAUACAAUUGAAUAAUGUAUUUCGAAAUUUAUAAUGUAUAUUUCAAUAUAUUUAUUUUAGUGAUGAUUUAUGAAUUAUUACCAUAUUUUAAGAAGUUUAACAAAAAUAUAAAUCAACAUUAAAUGUAAUGUAUUCGUUAUUGUCAUAUUCUAUAAAGUUUACCAAAAAUAUUUGUCAGCAAUAAAUGUGAUUGUCCAUAUCAUAUUAACUAUAAGUCAUGUCAUCAAUUUUGUUAGCCAUGUGAUCAUUUAUUUUGUAAAAAUGAUUAUAGAAAAGACAUGUGGCAAAAUCACUUCGCAAAUAUAGAUUGGGAGAUCUUUUUAGUUUCUAGAAAAUUUGGUCCACAGUCUAUGCACUACAUAAUUUAUAGCAAUACAUAAUAUUUUUUUCCAUGAUCUAGCAGCAGAUGCAGGUUACGCUUUCCAUAGAGGUUAAAUCAAUAACCAAAUUGCUUCAUGAGUACUCCAUAGUUGCAACAACUUCCAAACAAAACAAAAAAAACUUAAGCUCCAUCGUUCUUCCACAUCAUGUGCCAUCUCUGCCAGGGGCGAAUCCAGGCCAUUAAUCUAGUGGGUGCACCAUUAUUGAUAAAAUAGAAAACAAACAGAAGAAGGAAUCGAACCUUGGUUUGAGUGGGUGCUCAACACAACAUUUCCACCUUAUCUAACAGAUUUUAAGUGUUUUUUCACAUGAAAUUUGAAAUAUAACUAAUUUUUAUGGGUGCACAGGCCCCCAUAGUACACAACCUGCCUUCGUCCCUGAUCUCUGCGAAGCUUACAUAAACUUAUCAUUACAUCUUUGCUGAGCGUUUGCAGAGUUAGUAUAUAUGAUCAUCCUGAAUCUGUGUGUUUGAGUAGACUUUUUAUUAACAAGUUAAUUUGUUUAUCAACUUCAGGAUCUCUCUACAUUUCUUUACUUGAUUUUUCAGAUCACAAUUUUCAGAUCACAAUUUGAGACUGACUACUUGUUCUCUCAGUCGCACUAAUGAAAUUCUUCUCAUGACAACUUACAAGUUAUCAUUCUCUACUUCUCAACUCGAUCCAAACUUGAGUAACUAUAACAAGGCACAAAAUACAACCGCAAGGCAAAAAAAACUAUUAAGAAUCAAAUAUUUGGAGACAAGAUAAGGCAGAGAUCAUCAUCAUACAAACAUCUACUGAAUUCGAAAAUAGAACAGAACUAAUAUUGUUUCGGAAAUUUCCAAGUUUCAUUACACGUAAAGAAUAAUCAGAUUUGUAAAUUCUCGAGGAGACGAACAACUUUGGCUUUAGCUUUCUUUGCUUUGGCUUUGUCUUUCUUCGCUUUGAGUUUAGCACCAAACUUGUCGUCCCAAGCUUUGCUCGGUACCAUCCUCUUCAAAAGCCAAGGUCGACUUCUCACGAAGUUUUUAUGCCCAAACUCGAACCAACCGAUUCUCUGAAAACCAUGAUGGCGAAGCUCCGACACAAACUCUGAAAAAUUCCAGCCGAACUCUACAGAUUUGGACAGAAUCUUUGUGCAAAACCGGGCGACAUCCCAAACGAUGAAACUGUUGUUGCUGUUGUUGGUCCACGAGAUGAUUGCAUCCAACGAGUGAUCAUUCACAAUCUCAUACAGCUUCAUGAAGAACGAAUACGGCCCCCUGCUGAUAUGUGAGCCAUCCUUAGAGCAUGAUUAAUCCAAAUACCCAAAUGGGUUUCUAAUUUUUUUUUUUCGUUUGGCCGAUUUAAAAAAAAAACUAAAAAAGAAUCAAUCGCGGGCCGUUACGUGUCAGUGGAGCCCGCACACGGUAAAACAAAUCCAACUACAUACGUCUCUUAUUUGGCUACAUUUGACUCUCUUCUUCCUUGGUUCCCCCAUUUUUGUGGUCCCCCCUCCUAAAAACUCUCCUACAUACCCGGUUAAUGCUGCUUUUAACUCUAAUGGAAAAAAAAAAAAAAAAAGAGAGAUUGUGAAUGAUCACUCGUUGGAUGCAAUCAGAGAUUGUGAUUAAAUCGAGGGAGAUUUCAACGGUCACGAUUAAAUUACAAGGUUUCCUUUUUCUAUCUUCUUCUAUUUCCUUUUAUCCAACUACGUUAAAUAGUCAUGGGGCUAGGCUCAAUAUCCACUCUAAAUAUUGGGUUUGUUUCGUAAAUUUAGUUUAUCAUUAGGAACUUAAUUAUAAAUCAGAGAGUCGCAAUCUUUACUUUACCUUCAGAAACUGAUUCGUCCUCUUCGUCUCCGGUGAGAUGAAAAAAGCAAAACUUAUAAACUGGGCGGAGCUUCCAUCGGAGCUGAUCUAUUCGAUUCUUCACCGUCUUAGCGUGCCUGAUAGACUAGGAAACGCUCGGCACGUGUGCAGAUCGUGGCGACGCGUCUGUCAAGACCCCCUGAUGUGGCGGAAAAUCGAGAUGCGAGACAUGGGAGAAUACAAUGAAGCCAAGGAUUAUUAUCAUGCCGCGGAGGCCAUGUGCCGUCGCGCCGUUGAUCUAAGCCAGGGCGGCUUGCUGGAGAUCAACAUUGAGUACGUCGGCACCGAUUCUCUCCUCGCCUACAUAGCCGACAGGUGAAACGAACCCUAAAAUUCUGAUUCCUGAUUCUAUGUGUUGGUUGCAAAUAAUAGUUUGUGUUUUUAUAUGACUUUGGUAUGGAUACAGGUCAAGCAACCUGAAACAGCUUGUACUUACUGAGUGCAAUGGCAUAACGGAUGUGGGACUUUUGGGAGCAGUCAUGAAGCUCAAAUUGCUUGAACACCUUGAACUUUCUUACUUCUAUUUUAUGGAAUUGGAUUUGGAAUCUAUAGGCCUUUCCUGCCCGCUUCUCAAGACUCUGAAGCUAAACAAUGUGGGUUGCUACUACUUGGAGGACGAGUCUGAUGAUGAUGCUUUGGCAAUUGCUAAAACAAUGCCCGGUCUUCACCACCUCCAGCUUGUUGGGAACAGGUUAACAAACACCGGCUUAAACGCCAUUGUUGAGAAUUGUCCUCACCUCAAAUCCCUUGAUUUACGCGAUUGUGGCUACAUCAACCUUGCCCCCCAAUGAUUUCCAGAAGUUAUGUAAAAGAGUGGUUCAAGGGUUUAGUUGAUUUUACAUUUGCAUUUUGUUGAGCUGGUUACAUUCUUACAAAAUAGUAUGUGAUUCAUGUUUG